AAAAUGUUUUGUCUUGGUUUCUUAUAUAUCUUUGUUAAGUGUGAAGGUCAACUGAAAUACAGAAGCUAAUCAGUGAGGAAGACACAUUGACUGGCUUAUGCUAUUUGGGAGGGACUUUUUUUUGCAGAUUUUGAAUGAAACAAAGCAGCCGUUUUGUAAUAAUACAUCUUCCAACAGAAGGCGUCUGCAAUUCCUAUAAGACGCUUUUGGAAGCAAUCACCAUAAUGCCAAAAUCCUUUCUGUCUUCUAUAAAUUUCCUGCCCAUCGAGCUUGUGCUGCUAGUAAAUUGUAAUAUCUAUCCUUUUAAGCACCUAUAUUAAUGAGAAGACUUAUUAGGUUUGCUUUACAGCUUCAGAUCGUGGUAAUGAUGGAGCUUAUAGUCUUUGAAAUCCUGACUCAAACUAUUCAGUGGUGAAAACUCUUACUACUUGAGAGA
Long non-coding RNA from Quercus robur (English oak), 436 nucleotides. RefSeq lists it as uncharacterized. The transcript is spliced from 2 exons. NCBI's taxonomy places the organism in Eukaryota, Viridiplantae, Streptophyta, Magnoliopsida, Fagales, Fagaceae. The record is from RefSeq and is a predicted model, not a curated record.